This 288-nucleotide unclassified non-coding RNA is filed under the name Agaricales sp. RNAcentral's name for it is "partial contains 5.8S ribosomal RNA, internal transcribed spacer 2, and large subunit ribosomal RNA". The record is from RNAcentral. Lineage: Eukaryota; Fungi; Basidiomycota; Agaricomycetes; Agaricales.
CGCACCUUGCGCUCUUUGGUAUUCCGAAGAGCAUGCCUGUUUGAGUGUCAUUAAAUUCUCAACUCCUCAGUGGUUGUCAUGACUGCUGUUGAGCUUGGAUGUGAGGGUUUGCUGGCGCAAGUCAGCUCCCUUGAAAAACAUUAGCGCAGCUUCUGCAAAUCGCUUGGUGUGAUAAUUUAUCUGCUUUGUGACGCGCAUGAAUAAAGCUUUGUGCUUCCAACCGUCUUCUCGGAGACAAUAUUUUUUGAACUUGACCUCAAAUCAGGUAGGACUACCCGCUGAACUUAA